CAGACGCUGGCGGCUGCUUCAUACUGCAAGUCGAACGUGAAAGACUUCGGGUCGAGUAAAGUGGCGCACGGGUGAGUAACGCGUAGAUAAUCUGCCCCGCUGUCUGGGAUAACCUUUCGAAUGGGAGGCUAAUACCGGAUAACACGAUUUCUUUUAAGGGAGUCGUUGAAAGUUGCGGCGCGACGGGAUGAGUCUGCGUCCCAUUAGCUAGUUGGUGGGGUAAAGGCCUACCAAGGCGACGAUGGGUAGCGGGUUUGAGAGGACGAUCCGCCACACUGGAACUGAGACACGGUCCAGACUCCUACGGGAGGCAGCAGUAGGGAAUUUUGCGCAAUGGGCGAAAGCCUGACGCAGCAAUGCCGCGUGAGUGAAGAAGGCCUUCGGGUCGUAAAGCUCUUUAUCUUCGGGAAGAUGAUGACGGUACCGAAGGAAGAAGCACCGGCUAACUACGUGCCAGCAGCCGCGGUAAUACGUAGGGUGCAAGCGUUGUUCGGAAUCACUGGGCGUAAAGGGCGUGUAGGCGGAACGAUUAGCGAGGGGUGAAAUCCCGGGGCUCAACCCCGGAACUGCUCUUCGAACUGUCGAUCUAGAGAAGGUCAGGGGCCGGCGGAAUUCCUGGGUUGUUAGAAGGGUGAAAAUUUCGUAAGAAGAAUCAAGGGAGGGAACCAUCGGGAGGGCGAAAGGGCCGGGCCGGGCUGGGGGCCAUUCUUGAACGCCUGAAGGCGGCGAAAAGCGUUGGGGAGCACAACCGGAUUAAUUACCCCUGGGGUAAGUUACCAACGGCCCGUUAAACCGAGGGGUACCAAGGGUCCGGGGAUGGUCGACCAUUCCGGGUACCGCCAGUAAGCAGAAAGGUCCCGGCCGGGGAAAUACGGCCCAACAU
Molecule: ribosomal RNA, 883 nt
Filed under: uncultured delta proteobacterium
Lineage: Bacteria; Deltaproteobacteria
Description: bacterial SSU rRNA
Rfam family: Bacterial small subunit ribosomal RNA
Source: RNAcentral